This 432-nucleotide unclassified non-coding RNA is filed under the name soil metagenome. Its description in RNAcentral is "partial contains 5.8S ribosomal RNA, internal transcribed spacer 2, and large subunit ribosomal RNA". The stretch from base 1 to 120 matches the Rfam family "5.8S ribosomal RNA", at positions 35 to 154 of the family's 154-position model. The record is from RNAcentral.
GAUGAAGAACGUAGCGAAAUGCGAUACGUAAUGUGAAUUGCAGAAUUCAGUGAAUCAUCGAAUCUUUGAACGCAUAUUGCGCUCUCUGGUAUUCCGGAGAGCAUGCUUGUUUGAGUAUCAGUAAACACCUCAACUUCCAUAUCUUUUUUGAAAUGGGAGUUGGACUUGAGUGAUCCCAACGCUUUUCCUCACCGAAAAGUGGCGGGUUACUUGAAAUGCAGGUGCAGCUGGACUUUUCUCUGAGCUAUAAGCAUAUCUAUUUAGUCUGCCUAAAAAACAGAUUAUUACCUUUGCUGCAGCUAACAUAAAGGAGAUUAGUUCUUGUGCUGACUGAUGCAGGAUUCACAAAGACGGCUUCGGCCGACUUUGUAAACUCGAUCUCAAAUCAAGUAAGACUACCGGCUGAACUUAAGCAUAUCAAUAAGCGGAGGA